This is a long non-coding RNA of Mirounga angustirostris (Northern elephant seal), 6717 nucleotides long. RefSeq lists it as uncharacterized. The transcript is spliced from 10 exons. The record is from RefSeq and is a predicted model, not a curated record. Lineage: Eukaryota; Metazoa; Chordata; Mammalia; Carnivora; Phocidae.
CCCAUUCUGCAUGGAGCACUGGGUGUUGUGCACAAACAAUGAAUCAUGGAACACCACAUCUAAAACUAAUGAUGUAAUGUAGGGGAUUAACAUAAGAAUAAAAAAAAGAAGAAGAAAAGCACACUGGUAUAAGAUUGAGAUUUGGGUUUUCUAUGUUAAAAUGACAAGGUUUUCUUGGAUUGUUAGUGUACUCUUUUUUUCUUUCUUAAGAUUGUAUUUAUUUAUUUGACAGAGAGAGACACAGCGAGAGAGGGAACACAAGCAGGGGGAGCGGGAGAGGGAGAAGCAGGCUCCCGGCCAAGCAGAGAGCCCGAUGUGGGGCUCGAUCCCAAGACCCUGGGAUCAUGACCUGAGCCGAAGGCCGACAGACGCUUGACGACUGAGCCACCCAGGCGCUCCUCCGAGAUUUUAUUUUUUAAAUAAUCUCUACACUGAACGUGGGGCUCGAACUCACAACCCUGAGAUCAAGAGUCGUGCUCUCUACCGACUGAGCCAGCCAGGUGCCCCUGGACUGUCAUCUCGAAGAGACACAUGCGUAGACUCAGAUAUGGCCCUGCUACCAAAUACUGGCUGUCUCUGCAGAAGUCUGGACUCAAGGUCAACUGAUAAUGGCUGCAGCCUAUGAAGAAGCGAGGUCCUGAUUCCUUACCUGAGAAAAGGAGCCUAAGACCCCAUCCAGGUUGUACCAGCUCUCAGAGCAUGCCCACAGCCUCUUCUCCUUGUCCUCAGAUAACCUCCUGACAUCAGGGACUCAGUUUUGCCUCAUUCAGAUGUCAGGUCUCCACCCCGAAGUAAACAUGGGAAUCUAUGAGAAAUUAGAUCCCAUCCAGCAAGAGCUGAAUCCGAGUCCUCUGCUCACCCCACGACGGAAAAGAAUAUGCACAGGCCUGCAUCCCUCUUCUCCUUCUCCACCAUGUCGGAAGAAAAGAUUUUACUGGACAGAGACACAGCGAGAGAGGGAACGCAAGCAGAGGGAGUGGGAGAGGGAGAAGCGGGCUUCCCGCCGAGCAGGGAGCCCGAUGCGGGGCUCGAUUAUCGGGACCCUGGCACCCUGGCACCCUGGCACCCUGGGAUCAUGACCUGAGCCGAAGGCAGACGCUUAAUGACUGAGCCACCCAGUCGCCCCCCACUUUCCACCUUGACCGUGCCUAGUCGUCCACCCGUCUAGUCCUCUUGGCCGCGCCUGGUCUUGCCCUCGAAUGUGUUCGUCUGGAGCACAGAGCUAGAUCCAGAGAAUGAGAGAAUGAGAUCGAUGGACCCACGGACGGAAAUCAAGUUUCUCUUUCCCUGAAAUGACCUAGGACACUCCUCUUCUAGUCAGCUCCCAUCCUGCUCCCCCACCCCCAACAACCUCUCAUCGGACCUUCCCCUUUUGCCACCAGAAAGCUUUUCCACUCCUCCGCCUGGCCUGCGUUUGCUUGGCGUCUCUGCCAGACCCAGGCGGUGGUGGCCGACCGCAGACUCUCUUGCCCUCAAGAAAUGAUUCCCGCUCUCAUGUGGGUGAUCUUUUAUCUCCACAGAGGUGGCUCACAAAGCUGCACAACCUUCACUGCAAUUUCCAGAACAUUUCCAUCACCGCCAAAAGAAAUAAACACCUCUACUACCCCUCCCCCCUUCCUGUCCGCGCCUCGCCCCCACCCGCCGUCACCGUCGCCCUCGCCGUCACCGUCGCCCUCGCCCUCACCCGGGCUCUCUUCACUGUUCUCCCCCAACAGGGAGUAGAAAGGGAAGUUAGAGGGAACAUUCUUCCUCCCCUACACCUGCUGAACGCACAUGGACACACACCGCAACCCUCCCCGCCAGGCGCGCGCACCCACCCACCCCCGCCCCGCCAAGCCCCGCCCCGCCACGCCACGCCACGCCACGCCCCCCAUCCCGGCCUUACGUGUACCUUACGUACCUCUGCACGGACUCGAGAUUUGGCAAUAGCCUUGAUUGCCCUGCAAUGUUUCCAAACCUCGGCGCUCCCCAACCUUCCCCACCCCGACCCCCGCCCCUUCGAAGAAGAACUAACCUAAUUCGGGGAGCUUCCAGGUUGCUUGAACGCCUGAAAUGGUGGGGACAGAGGCGUUCCUGGAGAGGGGUCACGGAACACGGAAGCUCUGCCCCCCUUCCCUUUGCCUCUGUUCCAUCUGGAGUUUCCUCAGUUGUAUCCUUUUAGGACACAGCGGUCAUGUAAGAAAGGAGAAAAAAAAGGACUGAAGGACUGAACCGGGCUAGACUGGUUUAAAAUUCUUCACUAGCGUCCCUGCCGAAUACAUUUCGACGACAGGGGCCUUCGCACGGCUUUUGGUGCACAGAAGACCGAUGCACCGAAGCCUGCCGAUCUCGGGACGUGUCCACGAGGGGAAAGAGUGUCAGCCUAUCGGAAAAGAGAGUCGGUUAACGUAGAUUGCAAAGGCAUUCGUUCAUCCCGAGAGACUUCCUCUCCAUGAUGGCGGGUGGCGCGAGAUGGAAGAGUUGGCUUCCAUGAAAAAGGGGCCCUUUCUUGAAGACCCUGCCCAGCUAUCGGGGUUUUGUUGGUUUGUGUUUUGUCAUCUGUGAUAGGAAGGCAUCUUCUUAGCCAUCGGGAGGGAAACCUCAACAAAUUCAGCCAUUCAGAUCACAAGGGAUUUCUUGGGUUUGGUGGAUCUGAGAUCUGGUCUGCCUCCGACUGCUCCCCGAGAUUGCCUUUAUGCCGAGAAUGGGAUUCCUCAUCAGACACACAGAAGUCCGGCUCCUUGCCACGGAGCUGGCUGCUCUAUGGAUGCCUUUAAAAAGGAAGCCUGCCUUUAAUUCGGACGUCGGAACGUGAUCGGUCGCUUUUUCAUGGGGGGUUGGCCAAUUAAAUUUCCCCCGCCUUGGGCGCCUGGGUGGCUCAGUUGGUUAAGCGGCUGCCUUCGGCUCCGGUCAUGAUCCUGGAGUCCCUGGAUCGAGUCCCGCAUCGGGCUCCCUGCUCAGCAGGGAGUCUGCUUCUCCCUCUGACCCUCCCCCCUCUCAUGUGCUCUCUCUCAUUCAUUCUCUCUCUCUCUCUCUCUCUCUCUCUCUCUCUGUCUCAAAUAAAUAAACAAACAAACAAACAAACAAAUAAAUAAAUAAAUAAAAUCUUAAAAAAAAAAAAUUCCCCCCGCCUUACAAAGCAGAGACUGGUGAAGGGUCCUCCAAGUGCCCUCUGGAAAUCAAGAGCUUCUGUAUCAAGAGGCUGGAAAACGCAUCUUCCCCUUCUUCCUGGUGAAUCCAAUUCUAGGGGUUGAUUCAAAGGAAAUCAUGUUUUAGAUGCUAAAACGUAAAGCUUACUUUUGCAAAAAUGUGCAUCGCGGCAUAGGGUUUAGGAAUCCCUUGUGGCAGACCGACAACCGUGUGUCCCUCACGUCCCGGCACGUGUGCACCCUCACGUCCUAUGACUUCGAUGCUCCUGCUAUCCAGAGAGAGAGACACAGCGAGAGAGGGAACACAAGCAGGCGGAGUGGGAGAGGGAGAAGCAGGCUUCCCGCCGAGCAGGGAGCCCGAUGCAGGGGCUUGAUCCCAGGACCCUCGGAUCAUGACCUGAGCUAAAGGCAGACGCUUAACCACUGAGCCAUCCAGUCAAAAUAAUGAAGAAGAGGAGGAAGACAGGCCGAUGCUAGAAAUCUGAAAUCCACUCCUCCUCCUCCCCAAGUACAGGCACCAGAACCGAUGCCCAACCCACUGGCUUCCGGAGGGCUGAAAAGCCACCACAGACAAAGCCUAUUAAGCAGAAGGAGAUGAAGAAAGGGGCGGAGGCGGAGGCGGAGGCGGAGGCGGAGGCGGAGGCGGAGGCGGAGGCGGAGGCGGAGGCGGAGGCGGAGGCGGAGGCGGAGGCGGAGGCGGAGGCGAAAAAAAAGAAAAGGUUCGUCCAAAACUGUAAAUGUAUAUGUGCCCUGGGCCUUACCAAUGGCUCCCUUGCCGCCUCCCCUGCCCCGUUUCUGCACCACUGGUGUGUGUGCCUGGAGUGCUCUACUCCCCUGCCGCCGUCUCAGCCGCCCUUCCCUACCCCCGCCCCCCCCGCCCCCCCCCCCCCCCGGGUGCCAUGGGCUCCCCUUUCUCCUCCUCCUCCUCCUCCUCCUCCCCACCCCCUUAUCAAGGAGCAAAAGCCCUUGCCCUUGGGCCCAAGCCCUUGGGCCACCUCCUUAUGAGGUUUAAAUUGGAGCACCUCCCAAACUAGCAGGAAGGGGCCCGAGGGCUCCGCUGAUCUUAGACCGCCCGCUUCAGACUUUCCCCAAGGAGUCUGAUGGGGGAAAACAAUCGAUUGACUUUUUAGUGGACGCAGGUGCAACUUCUUUGGCGUUAAAGCCAAUUCAAGGUUGUUGGUUUAUUUUAAAAAGACGUGGUUUUGGAGCUAUCAAUGUCACACAUAAUACAAAUAAUCAACUUUGCGUUUCUUUCUUUCUUUCUUUCUUUCUUUCUUUCUUUCUUUCUUUCUUUCUUUCUUUCUUUCCCUUUUUCUUUCUUUCUUUCUUUCUUUCUUUCUUUCUUUCUUUCUUUCUUUCUUUCCUUUUCUUUCUUUUCUUUGUCAUAAAAGCACUUGGAUUCGGUUCUCCCUGCGUUACAAGCCGUUGGGUGGGCAGUGGAAUGUGCCACGCUCCCGUCACAACAGUGAGCCUGUAUUUGUGGUUAUCAAAAUAUACCUCUCCAUCACCUUUAUAAAAACCAACCAACCAACCAACCACGUUUGGGUGCCUGGGUGGCUCAGUCGUUCAGCGUCUGCCUUCGGCUCAGGUCAUGAUCCCAGGGUCCUGGGAUCGAGCCCCGCAUUGGGCUCCCUGUUCAUUGGGGAACCUUCUUUUCCCUCUGUCCCUUCCCCUGCUUGUGUUCCCUCUCUCGCUGUGUCUCUCUCUGUCAAAUAAAUAAAAUUUAUGAAAUAUAUUCAUACAUUUGCCAAUCUAAAGAAUUCUGGUGUAAUAGAGAGUGCGCCAUUGGUUACUACUAACGUUUCACCAGAGACUGAGAUUUCUAAGAAUUAAAAUUCUGCCACAUGGAAUUGGGACUGCUACAAAAUGAUAACAAAAACAACUCCGUGUGUGGGAAGGUAGGAGACGUGUAAAAGAGGUACAAGAAAUGAGAAAACAUUUUUUUUGUUGAGGGAAAAGGAAGUAAUGGUGUACUGAAACGGGACUGGGUACUUAAAGAAAGAAAACUUUAAGACCGAGUCUGAAUGAAAAAGGAAAUUGUGGAAGGGGUUUGUGAAGGAGAAUUUUUGAAAAGGAAUUUUAUGCAUGGUCAGGACUGACUGAGCUUGGGAGAAGGCAGUUUGAAAAGCACACUGGUGGAACUGGAGGGUAUUAUGUUGAGCGAAAUAAGUCAAACAGAGAAAGACAUGUAUCCUAUGAUCUCACGGAUAGGAGGAAUUCUUAAUCGCAGGAAACAAGCUGAGGGUUGCUGGAGUGGGGGGUGGGGUGGGAGGGAUGGGGUGACUGGGUGAUAGACACUGGGGAGGGUAGGUGCUCUGGCAAGCGCUGUGAAUUGUGCAAGACUGUUGAAUCUCAGAUCUGUACCUCUGAAACAAAUAACGCAAUCUAUGUGAAGAAGAAAAAAAAAAUAGAAGAAGGUAGCGGGAGGGGACGAAUGAAGCGGGGGAAAUCGGAGGGGCGGACGAACCAUGAGAGACGAUGGACUCUGAACAACAAACUGAGGGUUCUAGAGGGGAGGGGGGUGGGAGGAUGGGUUAGCCUGGUGGUGGGUAUUGAGGAGGGCCCAUUCUGCAUGGAGCACUGGGUGUUGUGCACAAACAAUGAAUCAUGGAACACCACAUCUAAAACUAAUGAUGUAAUGUAGGGGAUUAACAUAAGAAUAAAAAAAAGAAGAAGAAAAGCACACUGGUAUAAGAUUGAGAUUUGGGUUUUCUAUGUUAAAAUGACAAGGUUUUCUUGGAUUGUUAGUGUACUCUUUUUUUCUUUCUUAAGAUUGUAUUUAUUUAUUUGACAGAGAGAGACACAGCGAGAGAGGGAACACAAGCAGGGGGAGCGGGAGAGGGAGAAGCAGGCUCCCGGCCAAGCAGAGAGCCCGAUGUGGGGCUCGAUCCCAAGACCCUGGGAUCAUGACCUGAGCCGAAGGCCGACAGACGCUUGACGACUGAGCCACCCAGGCGCUCCUCCGAGAUUUUAUUUUUUAAAUAAUCUCUACACUGAACGUGGGGCUCGAACUCACAACCCUGAGAUCAAGAGUCGUGCUCUCUACCGACUGAGCCAGCCAGGUGCCCCUGGACUGUCAUCUCGAAGAGACACAUGCGUAGACUCAGAUAUGGCCCUGCUACCAAAUACUGGCUGUCUCUGCAGAAGUCUGGACUCAAGGUCAACUGAUAAUGGCUGCAGCCUAUGAAGAAGCGAGGUCCUGAUUCCUUACCUGAGAAAAGGAGCCUAAGACCCCAUCCAGGUUGUACCAGCUCUCAGAGCAUGCCCACAGCCUCUUCUCCUUGUCCUCAGAUAACCUCCUGACAUCAGGGACUCAGUUUUGCCUCAUUCAGAUGUCAGGUCUCCACCCCGAAGUAAACAUGGGAAUCUAUGAGAAAUUAGAUCCCAUCCAGCAAGAGCUGAAUCCGAGUCCUCUGCUCACCCCACGACGGAAAAGAAUAUGCACAGGCCUGCAUCCCUCUUCUCCUUCUCCACCAUGUCGGAAGAAAAGAUUUUACUGGACAGAGACACAGCGAGAGAGGGAACGCAAGCAGAGGGAGUGGGAGAGGGAGAAGCGGGCUUCCCGCCGAGCAGGGAGCCCGAUGCGGGG